GACGAACGCUGGCGGCGUGCUUAACACAUGCAAGUCGAACGGAAAGGCCUUUUCGGAGGUACUCGAGUGGCGAACGGGUGAGUAACACGUGGGUGAUCUGCCCUGCACUCUGGGAUAAGCCUGGGAAACUGGGUCUAAUACCGGAUAGGACCGCACUUUAGUGUGUGUGGUGGAAAGUUGUUUCGGUGUAGGAUGAGCCCGCGGCCUAUCAGCUUGUUGGUGGGGUAAUGGCCUACCAAGGCGGCGACGGGUAGCCGGACUGAGAGGUUGGUCGGCCACAUUGGGACUGAGAUACGGCCCAGACUCCUACGGGAGGCAGCAGUGGGGAAUAUUGCACAAUGGGCGCAAGCCUGAUGCAGCGACGCCGCGGGGGGGAUGACGGCCUUCGGGUUGUAAACUCCUUUCGCCAGGGACGAAGCGUUUUGUGACGGUACCUGGAGAAGAAGCACCGGCUAACUACGUG
This 463-nucleotide ribosomal RNA is filed under the name uncultured bacterium. RNAcentral's name for it is "partial 16S ribosomal RNA". It matches the Rfam family "Bacterial small subunit ribosomal RNA", at positions 28 to 507 of the family's 1533-position model. The record is from RNAcentral.